This 200-nucleotide small RNA is filed under the name Sinorhizobium meliloti 2011. Its description in RNAcentral is "putative ncRNA". The record is from RNAcentral. Lineage: Bacteria; Pseudomonadati; Pseudomonadota; Alphaproteobacteria; Hyphomicrobiales; Rhizobiaceae.
UCCGAAACGCCGCCGUGCUCGCCCAUGGAACGUCAAACGGCUGGCGCCGUGGGCGGUGAGCGGUGUUUCGGCGUUAAAGACUUUGCGUGUAAUUGUGAUGAAAUAUUAGCCGGUUAGCCUGCGAUGCGGGCAGUGUUAAAAUGCAGUUAAGCACUGAUUACAAGGCUUGAAUCAGAGCUUCCAUAGGUCUAUACACCGCC